RNAcentral lists this ribosomal RNA (400 nucleotides) under uncultured bacterium. RNAcentral describes it as "bacterial SSU rRNA". It matches the Rfam family "Bacterial small subunit ribosomal RNA", at positions 355 to 747 of the family's 1533-position model. The record is from RNAcentral.
UGGGGAAUAUUGGACAAUGGGGGAAACCCUGAUCCAGCGAUGCCGCGUGUGUGAAGAAGGCCUGAGGGUUGUAAAGCACUUUUAGUGGGGAGGAGUAUUUAUAGGUUAAGAGCUAAUGAAUAGGACGUUACCCAAAGAAAAAGCACCGGCUAACUCCGUGCCAGCAGCCGCGGUAAUACGGAGGGUGCGAGCGUUAAUCGGAAUAACUGGGCGUAAAGGGUGCGUAGGCGGUUCGUUAAGUUGUGGGUGAAAUCACUGGGCUCAACCUGGUGUGGAAUCAUGAUACUGGCGAGCUAGAGUACAGGAGAGGGUAGUGGAAUUUCCGGUGUAGCGGUGAAAUGCGUAGAGAUCGGAAGGAACACCAGUUGCGAAGGCGGCUACCUGGACUGAGACUGACGCU